This 460-nucleotide ribosomal RNA is filed under the name uncultured bacterium. RNAcentral describes it as "partial 16S ribosomal RNA". It matches the Rfam family "Bacterial small subunit ribosomal RNA", at positions 338 to 795 of the family's 1533-position model. The record is from RNAcentral.
CCUACGGGUGGCAGCAGUGAGGAAUAUUGGUCAAUGGGCGCGAGCCUGAACCAGCCAAGUAGCGUGAAGGAUGAAGGCCCUACGGGUUGUAAACUUCUUUUAUCAAGGAACAAAGUGUGGCUCGUGUGCCUUAUCGUAUGUACUUUAUGAAAAAGCAUCGGCUAACUCCGUGCCAGCAGCCGCGGUAAUACGGAGGAUCCGAGCGUUAUCCGGAUUUAUUGGGUUUAAAGGGUGCGUAGGUGGGUUGUUAAGCCAGUUGUGAAAGUUCGCGACUCAACCGUAAGAUUGCAAUUGAUACUGGCAGUCGUGAGUACAGUUGAGGUAGGCGGAAUGCGUGGUGUAGCGGUGAAAUGCUUAGAUAUCACGAAGAACCCCGAUUGCGAAGGCAGCUUACUAAACUGCCACUGACAUUGAUGCUCGAAAGUGUGGGUAUCAAACAGGAUUAGAUACCCGAGUAGUC